RNAcentral lists this ribosomal RNA (978 nucleotides) under Melanomma japonicum. RNAcentral's name for it is "SSU rRNA". It matches the Rfam family "Eukaryotic small subunit ribosomal RNA", at positions 103 to 1089 of the family's 1831-position model. The record is from RNAcentral. Lineage: Eukaryota; Fungi; Ascomycota; Dothideomycetes; Pleosporales; Melanommataceae.
AAAUCAGUUAUCGUUUAUUUGAUAGUACCUUACCACUUGGAUAACCGUGGUAAUUCUAGAGCUAAUACAUGCUAAAAACCCCGACUUCGGAAGGGGUGUGUUUAUUAGAUAAAAAACCAAUGCCCUUCGGGGCUCUUUGGUGAUUCAUGAUAACCUAACGGAUCGCAUGGCCUUGCGCCGGCGACGGUUCAUUCAAAUUUCUGCCCUAUCAACUUUCGAUGGUAAGGUAUUGGCUUACCAUGGUUUCAACGGGUAACGGGGAAUUAGGGUUCGAUUCCGGAGAGGGAGCCUGAGAAACGGCUACCACAUCCAAGGAAGGCAGCAGGCGCGCAAAUUACCCAAUCCCGACACGGGGAGGUAGUGACAAUAAAUACUGAUACAGGGCUCUUUUGGGUCUUGUAAUUGGAAUGAGUACAAUUUAAACCCCUUAACGAGGAACAAUUGGAGGGCAAGUCUGGUGCCAGCAGCCGCGGUAAUUCCAGCUCCAAUAGCGUAUAUUAAAGUUGUUGCAGUUAAAAAGCUCGUAGUUGAAACUUGGGUCUGGCUAGCGGGUCCGCCUCACCGCGUGCACUUGUCCGGCUGGACCUUUCCUUCUGGAGAACCUCAUGCCCUUUACUGGGUGUGUUGGGGAACCAGGACUUUUACUUUGAAAAAAUUAGAGUGUUCAAAGCAGGCCUUUGCUCGAAUACGUUAGCAUGGAAUAAUAGAAUAGGACGUGCGGUCCUAUUUUGUUGGUUUCUAGGAUCGCCGUAAUGAUUAAUAGGGAUAGUCGGGGGCAUCAGUAUUCAAUUGUCAGAGGUGAAAUUCUUGGAUUUAUUGAAGACUAACUACUGCGAAAGCAUUUGCCAAGGAUGUUUUCAUUAAUCAGUGAACGAAAGUUAGGGGAUCGAAGACGAUCAGAUACCGUCGUAGUCUUAACCGUAAACUAUGCCGACUAGGGAUCGGGCGAUGUUUCUAUCUUGACUCGCUCGGCACCUU